This 476-nucleotide ribosomal RNA is filed under the name uncultured bacterium. RNAcentral describes it as "bacterial SSU rRNA". It matches the Rfam family "Bacterial small subunit ribosomal RNA", at positions 30 to 517 of the family's 1533-position model. The record is from RNAcentral.
AUUGAACGCUGGCGGCAGGCCUAACACAUGCAAGUCGAGCGGGGUUUUCGGACCUAGCGGCGGACGGGUGAGUAAUGCGUAGGAAGCUACCCGAUAGAGGGGGAUACCAGUUGGAAACGACUGUUAAUACCGCAUAAUGUCUACGGACCAAAGUGUGGGACCUUCGGGCCACAUGCUAUCGGAUGCGCCUACGUGGGAUUAGCUAGUUGGUGAGGUAAUGGCUCACCAAGGCGACGAUCUCUAGCUGGUUUGAGAGGAUGAUCAGCCACACUGGAACUGAGACACGGACCAGACUCCUACGGGAGGCAGCAGUGAGGAAUAUUGGACAAUGGGCGCAAGCCUGAUCCAGCCAUGCCGCGUGCAGGAUGACGGUCCUAUGGAUUGUAAACUGCUUUAUACAGGAAGAAACACUCCGACGUGUCGGAGCUUGACGGUACUGUAAGAAUAAGGAUCGGCUAACUCCGUGCCAGCAGCCG